AGCAGCCGCGGUAAUUCCAGCUCCAAUAGCGUAUAUUAAAGUUGUUGCAGUUAAAAAGCUCGUAGUUGAAUUUCGGGAUCAGUACGCUGGUCGUGCCUUUGGUAUGUACUGGUGUCACUGAUUCCUCCCUUCUGAAGAACCGUUAUGCCAUUUAUUUGGUGUGGCGGGGAAUCAGGACUGUUACUUUGAAAAAAUUAGAGUGUUUAAAGCAGGCUCGCGCUUGAAUACAUUAGCAUGGAAUAAUGAAAUAGGACGUUUGAUCUUAUUUUGUUGGUUUCUAGGAUCGACGUAAUGAUUAAUAGGGAUAGUUGGGGGCAUUAGUAUUCAAUUGUCAGAGGUGAAAUUCUUGGAUUUAUUGAAGACUAACUACUGCGAAAGCAUUUGCCAAGGAUGUUUUCAUUAAUUAAGAACGAAAGUUAGGGGAUCGAAGACGAUCAGAUACCGUCGUAG
This 450-nucleotide ribosomal RNA is filed under the name uncultured Glomeromycotina. RNAcentral's name for it is "SSU rRNA". It matches the Rfam family "Eukaryotic small subunit ribosomal RNA", at positions 569 to 1023 of the family's 1831-position model. The record is from RNAcentral. Lineage: Eukaryota; Fungi; Glomeromycota.